Long non-coding RNA from Carassius auratus (goldfish), 802 nucleotides. RefSeq lists it as uncharacterized. The record is from RefSeq and is a predicted model, not a curated record. The transcript has 3 exons. Lineage: Eukaryota; Metazoa; Chordata; Actinopteri; Cypriniformes; Cyprinidae.
AGAGUAAUCGCUGUCUGGUUGAAGUUUGUCCCUCUGCAGCUACGGUUACCCCCUGACGUCACUCAGCUAGCCGUGAGUGGCUAAACAACUCAUUUGUGUCUGGCCAGUUGCUAUAAAAUCGUCUGCCUGUUGAGCUUAGAGAUAUUCUCUGACGCACGAUACGUUUUUAGUCCUGUUGCUGCUUGGGUAUGUGGUUCUCCUGUGUCAAAGUGUUUUACUGAUUGCCAGACGCUUCCGGGUAAUCGCGCUGUGUAUUGCUGAAGGUCCUGGGCAAAGCACACGCCGGGUAGCUUUACCACAAUUUACUAGCAUCAAGAAGGUCUGGGGCAAAGUACCCGCCGUGUAGCUGUAACGUUACUGCCAGACGCUUCCGGGUAAUCGCGCUGUGUGCUUUUGAAGGUCCUAGAAGAGUAUUAGCGUAGCUGCUCACAAGAGAGGUUCCUGGUUCCGUCCCCACACCCUGCACCACGUAUUGUAGUGGUAAAUUGCACUUCACAAUCUUGUUUGAAUCAUCGGCUUGUGGUGGUGUGUGUGUGCGUGUGUGUGUGUGCGUGUGUGUGGAUGCAUGGGAUCGUGGGCUCCAGGUUCCAGAGCACGGGUGGUGAACGUCACGCGUAUCUCGGACAGGUAACCUGCCUUGCCAGCGAAUCAGUAUUUUCUAGUUUAAUUGGUAAUCAUACAUUGUCCCCUGUAACAGCUAAUGCCAGGUCUAGUCUCUAUUAGUAAUGUGUCUCUAGGAUGACGGUGUGGCUCUUUUAAUGAUACCAUUGUAUAAUAAAGUUUUGUUACUGUUUUUCUACUG